AAAUUGAAGAGUUUGAUCAUGGCUCAGAUUGAACGCUGGCGGCAGGCCUAACACAUGCAAGUCGAACGGUAACAGGAAACAGCUUGCUGUUUCGCUGACGAGUGGCGGACGGGUGAGUAAUGUCUGGGAAACUGCCUGAUGGAGGGGGAUAACUACUGGAAACGGUAGCUAAUACCGCAUAACGUCGCAAGACCAAAGAGGGGGACCUUCGGGCCUCUUGCCAUCGGAUGUGCCCAGAUGGGAUUAGCUAGUAGGUGGGGUAACGGCUCACCUAGGCGACGAUCCCUAGCUGGUCUGAGAGGAUGACCAGCCACACUGGAACUGAGACACGGUCCAGACUCCUACGGGAGGCAGCAGUGGGGAAUAUUGCACAAUGGGCGCAAGCCUGAUGCAGCCAUGCCGCGUGUAUGAAGAAGGCCUUCGGGUUGUAAAGUACUUUCAGCGGGGAGGAAGGGAGUAAAGUUAAUACCUUUGCUCAUUGACGUUACCCGCAGAAGAAGCACCGGCUAACUCCGUGCCAGCAGCCGCGGUAAUACGGAGGGUGCAAGCGUUAAUCGGAAUUACUGGGCGUAAAGCGCACGCAGGCGGUUUGUUAAGUCAAAUGUGAAAUCCCCGGGCUCAACCUGGGAACUGCAUCUGAUACUGGCAAGCUUGAGUCUCGUAGAGGGGGGUAGAAUUCCAGGUGUAGCGGUGAAAUGCGUAGAGAUCUGGAGGAAUACCGGUGGCGAAGGCGGCCCCCUGGACGAAGACUGACGCUCAGGUGCGAAAGCGUGGGGAGCAAACAGGAUUAGAUACCCUGGUAGUCCACGCCGUAAACGAUGUCGACUUGGAGGUUGUGCCCUUGAGGCGUGGCUUCCGGAGCUAACGCGUUAAGUCGACCGCCUGGGGAGUACGGCCGCAAGGUUAAAACUCAAAUGAAUUGACGGGGGCCCGCACAAGCGGUGGAGCAUGUGGUUUAAUUCGAUGCAACGCGAAGAACCUUACCUGGUCUUGACAUCCACGGAAGUUUUCAGAGAUGAGAAUGUGCCUUCGGGAACCGUGAGACAGGUGCUGCAUGGCUGUCGUCAGCUCGUGUUGUGAAAUGUUGGGUUAAGUCCCGCAACGAGCGCAACCCUUAUCCUUUGUUGCCAGCGGUCCGGCCGGGAACUCAAAGGAGACUGCCAGUGAUAAACUGGAGGAAGGUGGGGAUGACGUCAAGUCAUCAUGGCCCUUACGACCAGGGCUACACACGUGCUACAAUGGCGCAUACAAAGAGAAGCGACCUCGCGAGAGCAAGCGGACCUCAUAAAGUGCGUCGUAGUCCGGAUUGGAGUCUGCAACUCGACUCCAUGAAGUCGGAAUCGCUAGUAAUCGUGGAUCAGAAUGCCACGGUGAAUACGUUCCCGGGCCUUGUACACACCGCCCGUCACACCAUGGGAGUGGGUUGCAAAAGAAGUAGGUAGCUUAACCUUCGGGAGGGCGCUUACCACUUUGUGAUUCAUGACUGGGGUGAAGUCGUAACAAGGUAACCGUAGGGGAACCUGCGGUUGGAUCACCUCCUUA
RNAcentral lists this ribosomal RNA (1542 nucleotides) under Escherichia coli. RNAcentral describes it as "bacterial SSU rRNA". It matches the Rfam family "Bacterial small subunit ribosomal RNA". Lineage: Bacteria; Pseudomonadati; Pseudomonadota; Gammaproteobacteria; Enterobacterales; Enterobacteriaceae. The record is from RNAcentral.